Molecule: ribosomal RNA, 700 nt
Filed under: uncultured bacterium
Lineage: Bacteria
Description: bacterial SSU rRNA
Rfam family: Bacterial small subunit ribosomal RNA
Source: RNAcentral
GGUAACCUGCCCAUCAGAAGGGGAUAACACUUGGAAACAGGUGCUAAUACCGUAUAACACUAUUUUCCGCAUGGAAGAAAGUUGAAAGGCGCUUUUGCGCCACUGAUGGAUGGACCCGCGGUGCAUUAGCUAGUUGGUGAGGUAACGGCUCACCAAGGCCACGAUGCAUAGCCGACCUGAGAGGGUGAUCGGCCACACUGGGACUGAGACACGGCCCAGACUCCUACGGGAGGCAGCAGUAGGGAAUCUUCGGCAAUGGACGAAAGUCUGACCGAGCAACGCCGCGUGAGUGAAGAAGGUUUUCGGAUCGUAAAACUCUGUUGUUAGAGAAGAACAAGGAUGAGAGUAGAACGUUCAUCCCUUGACGGUAUCUAACCAGAAAGCCACGGCUAACUACGUGCCAGCAGCCGCGGUAAUACGUAGGUGGCAAGCGUUGUCCGGAUUUAUUGGGCGUAAAGCGAGCGCAGGCGGUUUCUUAAGUCUGAUGUGAAAGCCCCCGGCUCAACCGGGGAGGGUCAUUGGAAACUGGGAGACUUGAGUGCAGAAGAGGAGAGUGGAAUUCCAUGUGUAGCGGUGAAAUGCGUAGAUAUAUGGAGGAACACCAGUGGCGAAGGCGGCUCUCUGGUCUGUAACUGACGCUGAGGCUCGAAAGCGUGGGGAGCGAACAGGAUUAGAUACCCUGGUAGUCCACGCCGUAAAC